GUAGGGUGCGAGCGUUGUCCGGAAUUAUUGGGCGUAAAGAGCUCGUAGGCGGUGUGUCGCGUCGGCCGUGAAAACCUGUGGCUUAACUGUGGGCUUGCGGUCGAUACGGGCAUCACUGGAGUUCGGCAGGGGAGACUGGAAUUCCUGGUGUAGCGGUGAAAUGCGCAGAUAUCAGGAGGAACACCGGUGGCGAAGGCGGGUCUCUGGGCCGAUACUGACGCUGAGGAGCGAAAGCGUGGGGAGCGAACAGGAUUAGAUACCCUGGUAGUCCACGCCGUAAACGUUGGGCGCUAGGUGUGGGGGCCAUUCCACGGUCUCUGUGCCGUAGCUAACGCAUUAAGCGCCCCGCCUGGGGAGUACGGCCGCAAGGCUAAA
Molecule: ribosomal RNA, 375 nt
Filed under: uncultured bacterium
Lineage: Bacteria
Description: bacterial SSU rRNA
Rfam family: Bacterial small subunit ribosomal RNA
Source: RNAcentral